This 342-nucleotide unclassified non-coding RNA is filed under the name soil metagenome. Its description in RNAcentral is "partial contains 5.8S ribosomal RNA, internal transcribed spacer 2, and large subunit ribosomal RNA". The stretch from base 1 to 120 matches the Rfam family "5.8S ribosomal RNA", at positions 35 to 154 of the family's 154-position model. The record is from RNAcentral.
GAUGAAGAACGUAGCGAAAUGCGAUAAGUAAUGUGAAUUGCAGAAUUCAGUGAAUCAUCGAAUCUUUGAACGCACAUUGCGCCAGCUAGUAGUCUGGCGGGCAUGCCUGUCCGAGCGUCAUUUCAACCCUCAAGCCCCCGGGCUUGGUGUUGGGGAUCGGCGAGCCUCCGCGCCCGCCGUCCCCUAAAUCUAGUGGCGGUCUCGCUGUAGCUUCCUCUGCGUAGUAGCACACCUCGCACUGGGAAACAGCGCGGCCACGCCGUUAAACCCCCAACUUCUGAACGUUUGACCUCGGAUCAGGUAGGAAUACCCGCUGAACUUAAGCAUAUCAUAAGCGGAGGA